Oncorhynchus gorbuscha (pink salmon) is the source of this 1872-nucleotide long non-coding RNA. RefSeq lists it as uncharacterized. The record is from RefSeq and is a predicted model, not a curated record. Lineage: Eukaryota; Metazoa; Chordata; Actinopteri; Salmoniformes; Salmonidae. The transcript is spliced from 3 exons.
CGAGGCUCAGUGUGCCUUCCUGGAAAAAUGUAAACAUGAAUCUGUGGAUUUCCUUGGGAUGAAGAUUAGAUUCCUACUGAGGCAUGACGGAUGAAGGAGGAGGAGGUGUUUGAACUGGAGUGUGACUUCCCUGAUGUUCCUCAGGAAACAGGAUGUUAUUCUACCUGACACAGGGUCACUGAGGAGCCAGUCGCCCAAAUCCCAAAUCCUGGGUAGAGAGGCUCAGUGAAUGUGGAGUGGAAUGUGUGCACGCGGAUCAGUGCAUCAGAGGAGACGCUGUAGAAGGACAAAGUGCCAGCGGGCCAGUCCAGAUACACUCCUACUCUGUUUAAGUGGGAGGAGGAGGGGACAGGUAUGGCAAUACUCUCGUCAUUGUGCCAGGCAUUGUAACCAUCAUCAGAGCAGUGCACACUCCAGGACUUCAUAUUGAAUCCAAGAUCACAGUCAUUACCAUCACCUAUCCUGUUGAUUCCUUUAUAUGUCACUGCUAUAUCAGCCCCUUCCCCACUCCACUCUACCUCCCAGUAACAGCGCCCAGUCAGACCCUCUCUACAAAGCACCUGUCUGCAGAAGUCAAAUCUCUCUGGGUGAUCAGCAUACGGCUGCUCGUCUCUCACCUUUGUCACCUUCCUGUUCUGCUCAGACAGAGUAAGCUCUCUGAAUGCUGUGUUUGGGUCCAGUGUGAGAUCAGAGGCAUCUGAUGGGGGAGACCGAGACAACAUGACAUCAAUAGAGCCAACCAACACUGUUUACUGUUCUCCAGCUACAUAUGGUGUCGUCAGUGAUUGUCAGACAUCGGACUGGAGCCCAAUUGUUUCUUUCAGAACACUUUUCUUCUAUCACUUAAAUCAACAUUAGAGAACGUUUGUUCCCGUUCCUAAUUCUACAUCAGUCUACAGGAAGCAGUUCACCAACAGUGCCAGCUACAGAGUUGACAACAUGAUUCUAGUUAUAUUUAGUGGGAUGUUGGUGGUUUGGAUCUAUGGCUCCAUAGAAUGAGAGUUUCAAUCUGACUGGACCAACUAGUUCAAUCAGGUGUUCUGGAAUUAUCUCUGGCCCUCUGUGUGACUGUAUCACAUGUAAAAUAUAUAAAUGAAUCAAAUAAGAUGAUAAAAAAGAGAAUGACAUAGCUGUAAAACAUUAUCCUAAAAAUAAACCAUCAGGUUAGUGAAUACCCUUGGUGUUAAAUAGGAGAGUUUCAGCAUGAGAUAUCCUUUAUAUAUUACAUUUAUUUUACUAGGUCAAUAUGGCGACAAACUGGUGGCAAUUGGGAACAAAGUCAAUAGUUGGAAGUUCAUUGAAGAUAAUGCCAAUGUUGAUGCUUUUUUUCAUUAAGUAGCCUAUUUUCUCUUGAACCUGGUCUAUCCACUAGAGAAUCAUGGACAAUAUUGACACAGAUAUAAACAAUGAAUAUUAUAUAUGAAAAAACAAUGGUGAUUCAAUUUUAAAUGACCAAAGUUACUAUAGAUUUCAAUAUAUUUUCUGUUAAUUACCAAAAUUACUGAAUAAAUUAUUGGUGGCUUUGCAACCCUAGUCAACACUCACAUUUCAUAAGAUCGGAUUUCGAACAGCACUCUCCACCAUGGUCCACACUGUAGGAAUAAAACACCAUGAUUCCAUAUCACUUACUCACUCACACGCACACACACACGCACACACACACACGCACGCACUGAUCAUUUCUGUUGAGCAAUGAUGAUGUCAUGUCACUAAUACAAGAACAUACAAUUCAAGUUAUGGAUACACUCACAAGCAAGCAUAAAUGAAGUCUCUCUCUCUCUCUCUCUCUCUCUCUCUCUCUCUCUCUCUCUCUCUCUCUCUCUCUCUCUCUCUCUCUCUCUCUCUCUCUCUCUCUCUCUCUCUCUCUCUCUC